Molecule: ribosomal RNA, 752 nt
Filed under: bacterium enrichment culture clone PA_80
Lineage: Bacteria
Description: bacterial SSU rRNA
Rfam family: Bacterial small subunit ribosomal RNA
Source: RNAcentral
UAGAGUUUGAUCCUGGCUCAGAUUGAACGCUGGCGGCAUGCCUUACACAUGCAAGUCGAACGGCAGCACGGGGGCAACCCUGGUGGCGAGUGGCGAACGGGUGAGUAAUACAUCGGAACGUGUCCUGGAGUGGGGGAUAGCCCGGCGAAAGCCGGAUUAAUACCGCAUACGCUCUACGGAGGAAAGCGGGGGACCUUCGGGCCUCGCGCUCAAGGGGCGGCCGAUGGCGGAUUAGCUAGUUGGUGAGGUAAAGGCUCACCAAGGCGACGAUCAGUAGCUGGUCUGAGAGGACGAUCAGCCACACUGGGACUGAGACACGGCCCAGACUCCUACGGGAGGCAGCAGUGGGGAAUUUUGGACAAUGGGCGAAAGCCUGAUCCAGCAAUGCCGCGUGUGUGAAGAAGGCCUUCGGGUUGUAAAGCACUUUUGUCCGGAAAGAAAUGGCCUUGGUUAAUACCUGAGGUCGAUGACGGUACCGGAAGAAUAAGGACCGGCUAACUACGUGCCAGCAGCCGCGGUAAUACGUAGGGUCCAAGCGUUAAUCGGAAUUACUGGGCGUAAAGCGUGCGCAGGCGGUUGUGCAAGACCGAUGUGAAAUCCCCGGGCUUAACCUGGGAACUGCAUUGGUGACUGGCAAGCUAGAGUGUGGCAGAGGGGGGUAGAAUUCCACGUGUAGCAGUGAAAUGCGUAGAGAUGUGGAGGAAUACCGAUGGCGAAGGCAGCCCCCUGGGAUAACACUGACGCUCAUGCAC